This 69-nucleotide transfer RNA is filed under the name Garra pingi pingi. Its description in RNAcentral is "tRNA-Phe". The record is from RNAcentral. Lineage: Eukaryota; Metazoa; Chordata; Actinopteri; Cypriniformes; Cyprinidae.
GCUAGCGUAGCUUAAUACAAAGCAUAGCACUGAAGAUGCUAAGAUUAUUCCUAAAAAACUCCUCAUGCA